Molecule: unclassified non-coding RNA, 177 nt
Organism: Lepidothrix coronata (blue-crowned manakin)
Lineage: Eukaryota; Metazoa; Chordata; Aves; Passeriformes; Pipridae
Source: Ensembl
CUGGCAGUUCUGAAAACUGUAGUCCCUCUAUUUAUCGACAGCCUGAUUUCCAUGCAGGCUGCUGGAGUGGAAGCUUCCCUACACUGCCCUGCCAAUGCUUUCAACCCUGACCUAAAGAGACCCUCUCUAGAAGCAAGAAAUAAUUAAUUCUUUAUGCUUGUUUGGCCCUGGAUUUAU